Rosa rugosa (rugosa rose) is the source of this 529-nucleotide long non-coding RNA. RefSeq lists it as uncharacterized. The transcript has 3 exons. NCBI's taxonomy places the organism in Eukaryota, Viridiplantae, Streptophyta, Magnoliopsida, Rosales, Rosaceae. The record is from RefSeq and is a predicted model, not a curated record.
UUCCCCUACAUUUCUAAAAGUUUUGAAGACUGCUUUUUACUUCUAUCCCCGAAUCACACACCGAUUGAAGAAACAAAAACCUCUCAGCGCCAAAGCGCCAAAUCUUUCCUGUUCAUCUUAAGUUUCCCUCUACAAUUUUUGAGUAUCCCCAAAUCUCUCUCUGCAACACUUGAGAUUUGUACCCAAAUGGCAAUAUACCAAAUUCACUUUCCCUCUAAUCCUAUUCACUUCAUCAAACCUAACAUUCAUAUUUGUGAGCAGAAAAGAAAAAAACUUACCUUCCUCUCUGAUCAUACGAACACCGAUUAUCCAAGCCUCCGGGUUACCUCCGCUUUGAGUACGCAAAGUUCUCGUAAGAUGACUUGAUUGUUGAGAACUGGUGAACACGCUUAGAAAGAUGAAGUAGUUUGUGAGAUCAAUUUUGAAAUUGCAUCUUGGUUCCUUUCUUGGAAUUUGAUUGAGGUGUAAAUUCUGACUGGGGAUACAUACUCAAGAAAAACUUUCAUUUUAUGUACUGUGCAUCUCCUGC